RNAcentral lists this non-coding RNA (30 nucleotides) under Rattus norvegicus (Norway rat). The record is from RNAcentral. Lineage: Eukaryota; Metazoa; Chordata; Mammalia; Rodentia; Muridae.
UGAACACCUGUAGGACACGUAACGGAGCCC